UGGGGAAUCUUGCACAAUGGGGGCAACCCUGAUGCAGCGACGCCGCGUGAGCGAUGAAGCCCUUCGGGGCGUAAAGCUCUUUCGACCGGAACGAUAAUGACGGUACCGGGAGAAGAAGCUGCGGCUAACUACGUGCCAGCAGCCGCGGUAAUACGUAGGCAGCAAGCGUUGUUCGGAGUUACUGGGCGUAAAGAGUGCGUAGGCGGUUUUCUAAGUUCGGUGUGAAAUCUCCCGGCUUAACUGGGAGGGUGCGCCGAAGACUGGGAAGCGGGAGUGUGGGAAAGGCAGGCGGAAUUCCUGGUGUAGCGGUGAAAUGCGUAGAGAUCAGGAGGAACACCGGCGGUGUAGACGGCAUGCUAGACCAUAACUGACGCUGAGGCACGAAAGCGUGGGUAGCAAAC
This 401-nucleotide ribosomal RNA is filed under the name uncultured bacterium. RNAcentral describes it as "bacterial SSU rRNA". It matches the Rfam family "Bacterial small subunit ribosomal RNA", at positions 355 to 773 of the family's 1533-position model. The record is from RNAcentral.